This 504-nucleotide ribosomal RNA is filed under the name uncultured bacterium. Its description in RNAcentral is "partial 16S ribosomal RNA". It matches the Rfam family "Bacterial small subunit ribosomal RNA", at positions 29 to 523 of the family's 1533-position model. The record is from RNAcentral.
AUUGAACGCUGGCGGCAGGCCUAACACAUGCAAGUCGAGCGGUAGCACAGAGAGCUUGCUCUCGGGUGACGAGCGGCGGACGGGUGAGUGAUGUCUGGGAAACUGCCUGAUGGAGGGGGAUAACUACUGGAAACGGUAGCUAAUACCGCAUAACGUCGCAAGACCAAAGUGGGGGACCUUCGGGCCUCAUGCCAUCAGAUGUGCCCAGAUGGGAUUAGCUGGUAGGUGGGGUAACGGCUCACCUAGGCGACGAUCCCUAGCUGGUCUGAGAGGAUGACCAGCCACACUGGAACUGAGACACGGUCCAGACUCCUACGGGAGGCAGCAGUGGGGAAUAUUGCACAAUGGGCGCAAGCCUGAUGCAGCCAUGCCGCGUGUGUGAAGAAGGCCUUCGGGUUGUAAAGCACUUUCAGCGGGGAGGAAGGCGGUGAGGUUAAUAACCUCAUCGAUUGACGUUACCCGCAGAAGAAGCACCGGCUAACUCCGUGCCAGCAGCCGCAGUAA